CGACUCGUCGUCCAACGGACAGGAUGCGGGCUUGCGAAGUCCGUGAUGGUGGUUCGAGUCCACCCGAGUCGGCCA
This 75-nucleotide transfer RNA is filed under the name Planctomycetota bacterium. RNAcentral's name for it is "Planctomycetes bacterium (activated sludge metagenome) tRNA-Arg". It matches the Rfam family "tRNA". From Rfam's summary of the family: Transfer RNA (tRNA) molecules are approximately 80 nucleotides in length. Lineage: Bacteria; Pseudomonadati; Planctomycetota. The record is from RNAcentral.